RNAcentral lists this transfer RNA (84 nucleotides) under Actinomycetota bacterium. RNAcentral's name for it is "tRNA-Leu". It matches the Rfam family "tRNA". Rfam says of the family: Transfer RNA (tRNA) molecules are approximately 80 nucleotides in length. Their secondary structure includes four short double-helical elements and three loops (D, anti-codon, and T loops). Further hydrogen bonds mediate the characteristic L-shaped molecular structure. tRNAs have two regions of fundamental functional importance: the anti-codon, which is responsible for specific mRNA codon recognition, and the 3' end, to which the tRNAs corresponding amino acid is attached (by aminoacyl-tRNA synthetases). tRNAs cope with the degeneracy of the genetic code in two manners: having more than one tRNA (with a specific anti-codon) for a particular amino acid; and 'wobble' base-pairing, i.e. permitting non-standard base-pairing at the 3rd anti-codon position. The record is from RNAcentral. Lineage: Bacteria; Bacillati; Actinomycetota.
GCGGUGGUGCUGAAAUUGGUAGACAGGCAUGGUUGAGGGCCAUGUGUCCGCAAGGACGUGAGGGUUCAAGUCCCUCCCACCGCA